This is a long non-coding RNA of Zingiber officinale, 1986 nucleotides long. RefSeq lists it as uncharacterized. The record is from RefSeq and is a predicted model, not a curated record. The transcript has 2 exons. NCBI's taxonomy places the organism in Eukaryota, Viridiplantae, Streptophyta, Magnoliopsida, Zingiberales, Zingiberaceae.
UGCAAUGUUGGCACGAAUUCUGAGACGACCGCGAAUAAUCCUAUGUUUAGGGUUGCCGUGUGCGAAGGUAGGCUGGGUGGCAAGGGUUUUGUUGCCGUGUCCGAAGGAAGGCCGGUGCGAAGGGUCUCUCUCCGGUGGUUGUAGAUCCGGCGGCUCGGGUGCGAAGGAAGGUUGGGUGCCAAGGGUUCCUUAUGUAGAGGAUCCAAAUACUCCGGAAGAAACGUUUUUGUAAGUUUUUCAGGUUUUCUUCUAUCUAUUUAUAAAUGACUUUCCUUCUUUUCAAGGCAACGACUAGACUCCUCAUGCUGAUUUGGUGCAGUAGAUUUUGAUAAAAGUAGGUCUGCAGUCAUUAAUUAGUGAUUAACUUAUAUAAUUGUCAUAAUUAACUAAUUAAUUAAUUAGUUGAGAAAAUUGUGUGUACACUUACAUUGGGGAAAGAUAAACCAAGAAAGAGAUGAUGUUGCCCGUAAUAAUAGGGAGCAUUUAAAAGAAAUCCAUGAUAAAAGAAAUAAAGAAAAUAUUGAAAACCAUGAUUAAGUGGAUGAUUCGUAUUUAAUUAAUUACCUAGUAUUCCAAAUAGAAUGAGUAAAAUAUGUCCUAUAUCAGGGUCCAUCUUGAUGCUUGCGAGCUAUCGAAUUAGAAGAGCAAUUAAGGGGGAAAAUAAUGCAAAAAGAUUGUCUAAAAGGAAGUAGAAAAGCAAAACUUAUGAAUUUGUGUUUUCUUGUGUUUCCAUCAAUGGUCUUUUCCAUUGAGUAUAGAGGCAUUUUGUUUUGAGUUAUUUGUUAAAUUUAAGAAUUUUGUUAACUCUUUAACAAACUAAAGUAAAAGAGUGAUUUAAUUAGGAUGCGUUUGGUUUGCUAGAUUAAUUAAUUUAUUAAACUGUUAAUUACAACAUAUUAUAAGCCUCAAAGGAUUACUUGUAUAUAUAUGGCAGUUGGAAAAAAGUUGACUGUGAAUUUAGAAAGUGAGUGGAUGUAAUGGAUUAAGAAAGUAAUUAGAAAUAUGAAAAAGAAAAUGUUCAUAUAAAGAUCUUAAAUUGUUUUGUGAAAAUUCUUUAUGAAUUUACUUUGGCUCAAAAUUUCGAUGACAUAAUAUAAGGUGUUGGUUAUCAAUAGUAUUAACUCUCCCAGAAACAUGGGAAUUUGUAACUAAUCAAAUUUUAAUUAACGAUUGAAUGAAGUUAUUAGAUAAUGAUGGGUUGUUAUUAGAUAACGCUCGAACAUGGGAAUUUUGUUUUAUUUUUAAUUUUCUACUAUAUUAUUAGUGACAGAUUUUUAAAAUUGGUCCCUAAUAUGAUGAUGCUAUUCACACUAAAUUGUAUUGAUAAAAUAUUAUGAAGCAAUCAUAAUGCUUUCAAUGAACCAAAAUAUCAUGAUUUUCAUAAACAUAUAACCCCAAUAUUUGGUUAAGUUUCUAGACAAACUAUCAAGGAAUAGAUAUCAUCUACAUCCUAAACAACUCAUGAUCUUUAUAAAGUUUUAAUACGCUUGGAAAUGGAUAAUCCUAGAUUGGUUCAUCGUCAUCUUCAGUAAGCUGUAUGUGUCCUAACUAUUUUGGAUUGGCUAUAUAUUUUGUAUGCCUCCAUUAAACUCUGUGUGCCGAGAAUGUAUAAAUAAUACCUUUAGAAUGAAAAUAACAACAAUUUGAUACUUUUUCAUAUUAAAGCAUCACAAACCAUUAGUAUUUAUCAAAAUUGUGUUACAGCCAAAAUAACAAAUAUUUUUCCUUGCACUAUGUAAGCAAAUCAAAAGGAGCAUCUCUUGGAUUCUUUAGUUAAUAAUUAUAUCUUACUCUAAAUAAAAUUGUAUAGUAAUACUUCUAUCCUAAAUAUUCUCCUUCCUGGCCCUUGGUAUGGCAUGGUUCCAACAAUGACAAUGUGACAAUCUCUUAGGCAACUGCUAAGCAAAAAACAACAAUAAAAGAAUGAUAAAGCAGGGGAGUCAACAAGGGUGAGAUAAAAAAAAUGAUAAAGUGCAACUUUAACAU